This 73-nucleotide transfer RNA is filed under the name uncultured archaeon. Its description in RNAcentral is "tRNA-Gly(ccc)". It matches the Rfam family "tRNA". From Rfam's summary of the family: Transfer RNA (tRNA) molecules are approximately 80 nucleotides in length. Their secondary structure includes four short double-helical elements and three loops (D, anti-codon, and T loops). The record is from RNAcentral.
GCGCCAGUAGCCUACCCUGGUAGGGCGUCAGCUUCCCAAGCUGAAAGCCCGGGUUCAAAUCCCGGCUGGCGCA